This 253-nucleotide ribosomal RNA is filed under the name uncultured bacterium. RNAcentral describes it as "partial 16S ribosomal RNA". It matches the Rfam family "Bacterial small subunit ribosomal RNA", at positions 524 to 776 of the family's 1533-position model. The record is from RNAcentral.
UACGUAGGGUGCAAGCGUUAAUCGGAAUUACUGGGCGUAAAGCGUGCGCAGGCGGUGAUGUAAGACAGAUGUGAACUCCCCGGGCUCAACCUGGGAACUGCAUUUGUGACUGCAUCGCUGGAGUGCGGCAGAGGGGGAUGGAAUUCCGCGUGUAGCAGUGAAAUGCGUAGAUAUGCGGAGGAACACCGAUGGCGAAGGCAAUCCUCUGGGCCUGCACUGACGCUCAUGCACGAAAGCGUGGGGAGCAAACAGG